This 29-nucleotide small RNA is filed under the name Bombyx mori (domestic silkworm). RNAcentral's name for it is "ovarian small RNA-21769". Lineage: Eukaryota; Metazoa; Arthropoda; Insecta; Lepidoptera; Bombycidae. The record is from RNAcentral.
UAGAAAUUCAGCAUCCCUAAAAAUUGCCU